RNAcentral lists this ribosomal RNA (383 nucleotides) under uncultured bacterium. Its description in RNAcentral is "bacterial SSU rRNA". It matches the Rfam family "Bacterial small subunit ribosomal RNA", at positions 28 to 402 of the family's 1533-position model. The record is from RNAcentral.
AGCGAACGCUGGCGGCGUGCUUAACACAUGCAAGUCGAGUGCGUAGCCCUUUGUAGCAAUACAGAGGGUGGGCGCACGGCGCACGGGCGAGUAACACGUGGGUAACCUGCCCUUCGGUGGGGAAUAACCCCGCGAAAGCGGGGCUAAUUCCGCAUAACAUUCCGGGGACACAUGUUCUCGGACUCAAAGGAGUGAUUCGCCGGAGGAGGGGCCCGCGCCCGAUUAGCUUGUUGGUAGGGUAACGGCCACCAAGGCUUUGAUCGGUAGCCGGUCUGAGAGGAUGGCCGGCCACACUGGAACUGAGACACGGUCCAGACUCCUACGGGAGGCAGCAGUGGGGAAUCUUGCGCAAUGGGCGAAAGCCUGACGCAGCGACGCCGCGU